GUGUUGUGUAGGGGGAGGAGCUGAGCCGCCCUCUUGCCCAGGGUGGAAAAGGCCCUCGGCCCCGACAGCACACAGGUGGCCAAGGCAUCGUCACCUAGCAGGUGGCAUCGAAGCGUGGGUAUGA
This is a small nuclear RNA of Phyllostomus hastatus (greater spear-nosed bat), 124 nucleotides long. Lineage: Eukaryota; Metazoa; Chordata; Mammalia; Chiroptera; Phyllostomidae. The record is from RefSeq and is a predicted model, not a curated record.